CNUACGGGAGGCAGCAGGGGGAAUAUUGCACAAUGGGCGCAAGCCUGAUGCAGCGACGCCGCGUGAGGGAUGACGGCCUUCGGGUUGUAAACCUCUUUCAGUAGGGAAGAAGCGAAAGUGACGGUACCUGCAGAAGAAGCGCCGGCUAAAUACGUGCCAGCAGCCGCGGUAAUACGUAGGGCGCAAGCGUUAUCCGGAUUUAUUGGGCGUAAAGAGCUCGUCGGCGGUUUGUCGCGUCUAUCGUGAAAGUCCGAGGCUCAACCUCGGAUCUGCGGUGGGUACGGGCAGACUAGAGUGAUGUAGGGGAGACUGGAAUUCCUGGUGUAGCGGUGAAAUGCGCAGAUAUCAGGAGGAACACCGAUGGCGAAGGCAGGUCUCUGGGCAUUUACUGACGCUGAGGAGCGAAAGCAUGGGGAGCGAACAGGAUUAGAUACCCUGGUAGUCCAUGCCGUAAACGUUGGGCACUAGGUGUGGGGGACAUUCCACGUUUCCAGCGCCGUAGCUAACGC
RNAcentral lists this ribosomal RNA (509 nucleotides) under uncultured bacterium. Its description in RNAcentral is "bacterial SSU rRNA". It matches the Rfam family "Bacterial small subunit ribosomal RNA", at positions 338 to 858 of the family's 1533-position model. The record is from RNAcentral.